GGCGAUAAGGGGACCUCGAGUGCCAGGUUACAAAUCUGGCUGUCGUGAUGCAUAAAAAGCAUUGCAUAGCAAGGGCCGGGCAAGACCGGUGCCAGCCGCCGCGGUAACACCGGCGGCUCGAGUGGUAACCGUUAUUAUUGGGUCUAAAGGGUCUGUAGCCGGCCGGAUAAGUCUCUUGAGAAAUCCAGCAGCUCAACUGUUGGGCUUUCAGGAGAUACUGUUCGGCUCGAGGCCGGGAGAGGUGAGAGGUACUUCAGGGGUAGGGGUGAAAUCUUGUAAUCCUUGAAGGACCACCAGUGGCGAAGGCGUCUCACCAGAACGGACCUGACGGCAAGGGACGAAAGCUAGGGGCACGAACCGGAUUAGAUACCCGGGUAGUCCUAGCCGUAAACGAUACUCGCUGGGUGUCGGCCACGGUGCGACCGUUGUCGGUGCCGUAGGGAAGCCGUGAAGCGAGCCACCUGGGAAGUACGGCCGCAAGGCUGAAACUUAAAGGAAUUGGCGGGGGAGCACCACAACGGGUGG
This 525-nucleotide ribosomal RNA is filed under the name uncultured archaeon. RNAcentral describes it as "bacterial SSU rRNA". It matches the Rfam family "Archaeal small subunit ribosomal RNA", at positions 366 to 891 of the family's 1478-position model. The record is from RNAcentral.